RNAcentral lists this transfer-messenger RNA (352 nucleotides) under Thermodesulfovibrio aggregans. RNAcentral's name for it is "Standard tmRNA". It matches the Rfam family "transfer-messenger RNA". Rfam says of the family: Bacterial tmRNA, also known as 10Sa RNA or SsrA, is named for its dual tRNA and mRNA-like properties. Its role is to liberate the mRNA from a stalled ribosome. Lineage: Bacteria; Pseudomonadati; Nitrospirota; Thermodesulfovibrionia; Thermodesulfovibrionales; Thermodesulfovibrionaceae. The record is from RNAcentral.
GGGGGCGAAAGGACUCGACGGAGGUAGUGAGAGCUAAGCUGCAUGCCGUGGUCCUCACCGCCACGUAAAAAAGGUGGGAAAAACACAACUGCCAACUCUGAAUUGGCACUCGCUGCUUAAUUAAAAGCAGCCGUCUUCCUGAGUUUUGCUCUGAGGCUCAGGCAAGACGUCAUAAAUCAGAGCUCCUCUUAAGCAUUUAACCCGGUGCUUAAGAGAAGACCUCAGGGUUGUAGGAACUUAGAGAGCCAGUGGAAGGGCGAGCUAAGUUCCGAAUUUCAAAACUUCCACUAAGCAUGUAGAAGCUUAGUGGUAGCACCUUCGGACGCGGGUUCGAUUCCCGCCGCCUCCACCA